RNAcentral lists this non-coding RNA (72 nucleotides) under Natrinema thermotolerans A29. RNAcentral's name for it is "eL15-Euryarchaeota ribosomal protein leader". It matches the Rfam family "eL15-Euryarchaeota ribosomal protein leader". Lineage: Archaea; Methanobacteriati; Methanobacteriota; Halobacteria; Halobacteriales; Natrialbaceae. The record is from RNAcentral.
CCUGCACGACGCCGCGUCACAGGUCGGGAUGUGAUCCGCGGGGCUCGGCCCCGGUCGGGAUUGAACCAGCAA